This 467-nucleotide ribosomal RNA is filed under the name uncultured bacterium. RNAcentral describes it as "partial 16S ribosomal RNA". It matches the Rfam family "Bacterial small subunit ribosomal RNA", at positions 28 to 506 of the family's 1533-position model. The record is from RNAcentral.
GACGAACGCUGGCGGCGUGCUUAACACAUGCAAGUCGAACGGAAAGGCCCUGCUUUUGUGGGGUGCUCGAGUGGCGAACGGGUGAGUAACACGUGAGUAACCUGCCCUUGACUUUGGGAUAACUUCAGGAAACUGGGGCUAAUACCGGAUAGGAGCUCCUGCUGCAUGGUGGGAGUUGGAAAGUUUCGGCGGUUGGGGAUGGACUCGCGGCUUAUCAGCUUGUUGGUGGGGUAGUGGCUUACCAAGGCUUUGACGGGUAGCCGGCCUGAGAGGGUGACCGGCCACAUUGGGACUGAGAUACGGCCCAGACUCCUACGGGAGGCAGCAGUGGGGAAUAUUGCACAAUGGGCGGAAGCCUGAUGCAGCAACGCCGCGUGCGGGAUGACGGCCUUCGGGUUGUAAACCGCUUUCGCCUGUGACGAAGCGUGAGUGACGGUAAUGGGUAAAGAAGCACCGGCUAACUACGU